AAGUGUUAACAGCUCUUUUAGAAUUCGUCUUGCAGGUUUUCUGGCUUUUAUUGGAAAACUUUU
Molecule: small nuclear RNA, 63 nt
Organism: Rhinopithecus bieti (black snub-nosed monkey)
Lineage: Eukaryota; Metazoa; Chordata; Mammalia; Primates; Cercopithecidae
Gene: U7
Rfam family: U7 small nuclear RNA
About the family: Animal histone pre-mRNAs are spliced by a different mechanism than nuclear pre-mRNAs and self-splicing introns. This processing involves the U7 snRNP, which contains only one RNA species: U7.
Source: Ensembl